This 131-nucleotide ribosomal RNA is filed under the name Klebsiella michiganensis. RNAcentral describes it as "partial 16S ribosomal RNA". It matches the Rfam family "Bacterial small subunit ribosomal RNA", at positions 1 to 126 of the family's 1533-position model. Lineage: Bacteria; Pseudomonadati; Pseudomonadota; Gammaproteobacteria; Enterobacterales; Enterobacteriaceae. The record is from RNAcentral.
AAACUGAAGAGUUUGAUCAUGGCUCAGAUUGAACGCUGGCGGCAGGCCUAACACAUGCAAGUCGAACGGUAGCACAGAGAGCUUGCUCUCGGGUGACGAGUGGCGGACGGGUGAGUAAUGUCUGGGAAACU